UACAGUUCUCUGGCGCAAGAGGGCAAUUUAAUCUCGAGUUAGUCUCCACAGAGCCCUGAUGACUGAGGAUGCCCAGGAAAUGAGUUCUUCUAAGUAUCCCACCCCUGUCUUGCCCUGAGGCAAUGUGCACUUAAACAAAUGCAGAACUUUUGGUCCAUCUUCCAAAGACUUCAAAUCAGUGGGACUGUGUAUAAAGUUAAGCACAUGCAUGGCUCUUUGCAGCAUUAUUUGUAGGGGCAGGGCAUGGGGAAGAGAG
Molecule: long non-coding RNA, 256 nt
Organism: Terrapene triunguis (Three-toed box turtle)
Lineage: Eukaryota; Metazoa; Chordata; Testudines; Emydidae
Exons: 3
Source: RefSeq, a predicted model, not a curated record